RNAcentral lists this ribosomal RNA (442 nucleotides) under uncultured bacterium. RNAcentral's name for it is "partial 16S ribosomal RNA". It matches the Rfam family "Bacterial small subunit ribosomal RNA", at positions 338 to 795 of the family's 1533-position model. The record is from RNAcentral.
CCUACGGGAGGCUGCAGUAGGGAAUCUUUCACAAUGGGCGAAAGCCUGAUGGAGCAACGCCGCGUGCAGGAUGAAGGCCUUCGGGUUGUAAACUGCUUUUAUAAGCGAGAAAUAUGAUGGUAACUUAUGAAUAAGGAUCGGCUAACUACGUGCCAGCAGCCGCGGUCAUACGUAGGCUACGAGCAUUAUCCGGAGUGACUGGGUGUAAAGAGUUGCGUAGGUGGCAUAAUAAGUAGCUAGUGAAAUCUGGUGGCUCAACCAUUCAGACUAUUAGCGAAACUGUUAAGCUCGAGACCGUUAGGGGUAACUGGAAUUUAUGGUGUAGGAGUGAAAUCCGUAGAUAUUAGAAGGAACACCAAUAGCGUAGGCAGGUUGCUGGGACGGUUCUGACACUAAGGCACGAAAGCGUAGGGAGCAAACGGGAUUAGAUACCCGGGUAGUC